UCGAGAAUUUUUCACAAUUGGCGAAAGCCUGAUGGAGCGACGCCGCGUGGGGGAUGAAUGGCUUCGGCCCGUAAGCCCCUGUCAUUCGCGAGCAAACGUUAUUAUUUAAAAGAUGAUAGCCUGAUAGUAGCGAAAGAGGAAGGGACGGCUCACUCUGUGCCAGCAGCCGCGGUAAUACAGAGGUCCCAAGCGUUGUUCGGAUUUACUGGGCGUAAAGGGUGCGUAGGUGGUGGGGUAAGUCGGAUGUGAAAGCUCCGAGCUCAACUCGGAAAGUGCAUUGGAAACUACCCUGCUCGAGGGGUGGAGGGGGGACUGGAAUACUUGGUGUAGCAGUGAAAUGCGUAGAUAUCAAGUGGAACACCAGUGGCGAAGGCGAGUCCCUGGACAACUCCUGACACUGAGGCACGAAAGCUAGGGGAG
Molecule: ribosomal RNA, 420 nt
Filed under: uncultured bacterium
Lineage: Bacteria
Description: bacterial SSU rRNA
Rfam family: Bacterial small subunit ribosomal RNA
Source: RNAcentral